This 1513-nucleotide ribosomal RNA is filed under the name Escherichia coli. RNAcentral's name for it is "partial 23S ribosomal RNA". It matches the Rfam family "Bacterial large subunit ribosomal RNA", at positions 1443 to 2925 of the family's 2925-position model. The record is from RNAcentral. Lineage: Bacteria; Pseudomonadati; Pseudomonadota; Gammaproteobacteria; Enterobacterales; Enterobacteriaceae.
CUUGGUGUUACUGCGAAGGGGGGACGGAGAAGGCUAUGUUGGCCGGGCGACGGUUGUCCCGGUUUAAGCGUGUAGGCUGGUUUUCCAGGCAAAUCCGGAAAAUCAAGGCUGAGGCGUGAUGACGAGGCACUACGGUGCUGAAGCAACAAAUGCCCUGCUUCCAGGAAAAGCCUCUAAGCAUCAGGUAACAUCAAAUCGUACCCCAAACCGACACAGGUGGUCAGGUAGAGAAUACCAAGGCGCUUGAGAGAACUCGGGUGAAGGAACUAGGCAAAAUGGUGCCGUAACUUCGGGAGAAGGCACGCUGAUAUGUAGGUGAAGCGACUUGCUCGUGGAGCUGAAAUCAGUCGAAGAUACCAGCUGGCUGCAACUGUUUAUUAAAAACACAGCACUGUGCAAACACGAAAGUGGACGUAUACGGUGUGACGCCUGCCCGGUGCCGGAAGGUUAAUUGAUGGGGUUAGCGCAAGCGAAGCUCUUGAUCGAAGCCCCGGUAAACGGCGGCCGUAACUAUAACGGUCCUAAGGUAGCGAAAUUCCUUGUCGGGUAAGUUCCGACCUGCACGAAUGGCGUAAUGAUGGCCAGGCUGUCUCCACCCGAGACUCAGUGAAAUUGAACUCGCUGUGAAGAUGCAGUGUACCCGCGGCAAGACGGAAAGACCCCGUGAACCUUUACUAUAGCUUGACACUGAACAUUGAGCCUUGAUGUGUAGGAUAGGUGGGAGGCUUUGAAGUGUGGACGCCAGUCUGCAUGGAGCCGACCUUGAAAUACCACCCUUUAAUGUUUGAUGUUCUAACGUUGGCCCCUGAUCGGGGUUGCGGACAGUGUCUGGUGGGUAGUUUGACUGGGGCGGUCUCCUCCUAAAGAGUAACGGAGGAGCACGAAGGUUGGCUAAUCCUGGUCGGACAUCAGGAGGUUAGUGCAAUGGCAUAAGCCAGCUUGACUGCGAGCGUGACGGCGCGAGCAGGUGCGAAAGCAGGUCAUAGUGAUCCGGUGGUUCUGAAUGGAAGGGCCAUCGCUCAACGGAUAAAAGGUACUCCGGGGAUAACAGGCUGAUACCGCCCAAGAGUUCAUAUCGACGGCGGUGUUUGGCACCUCGAUGUCGGCUCAUCACAUCCUGGGGCUGAAGUAGGUCCCAAGGGUAUGGCUGUUCGCCAUUUAAAGUGGUACGCGAGCUGGGUUUAGAACGUCGUGAGACAGUUCGGUCCCUAUCUGCCGUGGGCGCUGGAGAACUGAGGGGGGCUGCUCCUAGUACGAGAGGACCGGAGUGGACGCAUCACUGGUGUUCGGGUUGUCAUGCCAAUGGCACUGCCCGGUAGCUAAAUGCGGAAGAGAUAAGUGCUGAAAGCAUCUAAGCACGAAACUUGCCCCGAGAUGAGUUCUCCCUGACUCCUUGAGAGUCCUGAAGGAACGUUGAAGACGACGACGUUGAUAGGCCGGGUGUGUAAGCGCAGCGAUGCGUUGAGCUAACCGGUACUAAUGAACCGUGAGGCUUAACCUUACAACGCCGAAG